GGCUCGGCUGUAAAUGGAGAGCUCGAGUCCUGUUUCAGCACGUGCGAACCGAAACAACCGGAGCAGCAGCUAAAGUCCUGCCCUUGACUUCGCUGAAACCUAGUCAGGUGUCACUCGGCAAAGGAUGUUUCCCAGCGCUGGGCGGUGACACGCAUUGUUAGCGAGGCCAGCCUGAAUCAAGAAAAACAAGUGAAAUGACACCCGGCGAUCGGCCAGGUACGCCAACUGUCCCAAUUAUGCAGAGGUCAGGGAGCACCUCCUGCAAACAGCAUGCAAAUCCACGCCGAGCCCCCCGCCAGCCUCUUCCCCAGGAGCUCCUCCUGGCGCCGGCAGGAGGGUUCGGGCUGCUGACGGGGAAGAAGCGCAUGCCGCAGGUCCAGGAGCAGAUGCAAUCCUUGGAUGGUGCCUUUCCAGCCUCCAGCAAGGUCUAGGGAAGCAAACAAUGCUCUUUUUCCCCUCCUUUCAAUUUUUUCUCUCUUUUUUUUUUUCCUGCUUUUCUAGCUUCUUGCUGGCAACACCAGACAUUGUACUUUGACGAGUUAAUAAACAUCUCCCUUGGGAAUUAAGGAGCUCCAGCAUGCUCAGGUUUGCCAUGUUUUAAGCCUGACUAACAAGAGUUUGCAGAGCAAGAGGCUUUCCCCCCCACCCUCAAAAGCUCAAUAUCUCACAUUUCAGGCUUCUCCCCGAAGCUGCUUCACUUCUGUGGCUUGCAGCUCUAAAAAUUGUAACGCUUCAGUGCUAUCUCCCAGGUGCUAACCUAUCACUCGCACCUCUCCUAGUCUUUUCUCUCCGCCCAUGCUCCCCUUCCCAACCCCAAGUCUGCUUUUUCGGUGCCAUUUUUUUGAGUGGUCCCUGCUCUCCGGGGAAUAGAGAAGC
Molecule: non-coding RNA, 876 nt
Organism: Struthio camelus australis
Lineage: Eukaryota; Metazoa; Chordata; Aves; Struthioniformes; Struthionidae
Source: RefSeq, a predicted model, not a curated record